Molecule: ribosomal RNA, 301 nt
Filed under: uncultured bacterium
Lineage: Bacteria
Description: partial 16S ribosomal RNA
Rfam family: Bacterial small subunit ribosomal RNA
Source: RNAcentral
CAGCCGCCACGGGAAUACGAAGGGUGCAAGCGUUACUCGGAAUUACUGGGCGUAAAGCGUGCGUAGGUGGUGGUUUAAGUCCGUUGUGAAAGCCCUGGGCUCAACCUGGGAAUUGCAGUGGAUACUGGAUCACUAGAGUGUGGUAGAGGAUAGUGGAAUUUCCGGUGUAGCAGUGAAAUGCGUAGAGAUCGGAAGGAACAUCUGUGGCGAAGGCGACUAUCUGGGCCAACACUGACACUGAGGCACGAAAGCGUGGGGAGCAAACAGGAUUAGAUACCCCCGUAGUCCCUGUCUCUUAUAC